UUUUUUUUUUUUUUAAUAGCAACCAUUACAGUGCAAGGUUUUAAAAGUUAUUAUUACAGUAAAAGGUGUGUAUCUGGUUUUACAGUAACUGUAGCACUGAUUUUUUGUUAUGUAUAGUAGGUCCCUGAUGUAAAGUGUAUGCACCAGUUUGAGAGAAAACCCCGCACAAUAACGGCUCUUUAGCUUUAAAUACAUUUUUCUUUUUUUUUAAACAGAUACAAAAUAACACAUCAAGUUCACAAUUUCACAAGCACGGACUUUUGCCUUAAUAAAAAGCAUGAAAACUUGGUUGAAACCCCAACAUUUAAAGAAAUGUAAAAACUAUUCAAUGAGGGACACGAGUGUGUGUUUGAGUCAUGGCUUUCUGCCACCCCAGCUCCUGGAUGAGUCUGUGCUGUCCAAACUUCUGCUUCUUGCUCACCCACCAGUUAUUUUUGGGCCAGGUGAAGUGGUGUUCAGCUUCCCACAGCUGGGAUUUGAGUUUGUGCCUUUAACAUUAUCAACAAUCUAUUUUUCGGGUGGAUGAGUUCUCAUAAUGAAGGAUCAUCCACAGAGGAUCUGUGACUCCAGGCCACAGGUUCAUUUGGAGGGGGCUCUUUUUUGGAAUGAUCAGGAUGAGAUGCAAAUGACUGCAGCCCUGCAAUAAUCCUUGGAAACUGGUUGGAGAAGAUCUCUAUGAUCAUCAAAUCCAACCAUAAACCCAGCACCAUAUUCACCAUCAAACCAUGUCCUCAAGUACCACAUCCACUCCAGUCUCACUGCACCCAACUUUGACUUUUCUGAGUUAAAGAAACUUUAGAAUCAUAGAAUCACAGAAUAUCCUGAGCUGGGAGGAACCCACAAGGAUGAUCAAAGUCCAGCUCCUGGCCCUGCACAGGACAGUUCCAAGAAUCCCAACCUGUGCCUGAAGCAUCCUGGUAACUGGCUAAUUUAGUCAAACACAUUGAUUUUACUUCACAACCAACCUGAAUUGUCUGAAAUCAAGAAAAGAGUAGUCAGAAAAUAGCCAGGAAAAUCUGAUGCUGCAGUUUAAAUCCCAGCUCCAAGAAGUGGGAUCCAGCUGACUUCAUAACCACCAAAAAUACAGGCUUCCAACAGAAAUGUUCCUGUCUCUCAACAGUGUUUCAGGAAUUUAUUUAGUGCAUGAUUUUGCAAUUUCUACCUUCUCAAGUUGCCUUUACUCAGGUAAAUAAUAUGUUUUUCAUCUGAGUUAUUGAAAAACACAGAAAAGUUAUGUGGAAUUCCUCUCCAAAGCUGCACAUCUCUUUCCACUGAUGGUAGAGGAAGCAGAUGCAAAGAACUCAGACCAGACUCUUUCAGGGAGAGAAAGUCAAGUGGGAUUAAUCCCUCUUUUGACUUGUCUCCCCACUCCAAAUGGGUGGGUAAGUAAAUAUGAAAUACCCAGGUGGGAAAGGCUGCAGAACUACUUAAAAGGAAUAUCUUAUACAAAAAACACCAAACAUAUUUUGAGAAUUGCAUCUGCAAUCCUUAGCAAAAUGCAGUUCCAGCCAGAGGCUGGAGGAGGUUUGAGGAACAUUGUGAGCUCAAAGGAGAUAAGGACAAAUGUUUUAUCAAAGUUCUUCCAUCUCUGCCCUCCAUUAGAUUUUAUUCUGGACAUUUGAGGGACUUUUAGAAGCAGCAGGAGUCCAACACAAGAAGGGAUGCCCUUGGUUGUGUCAGUCACUAUGUUUUAGUUCUGUCAGACACUACAUCCUCCCAGCAGAUGUCUGCAGUCAGCUCUACCACAGCCCCGCAGUUCCUCCUUGCCAAUUCUGUCCAUGUAGGAAUCCCUCCUUUCCCACAUCACACCUGCACCUUGUCCUGAGGAGCUUUCCUCAUGGCAAACCUGCACCUGGGUAUCUUAAUUUUUAAACACUACCUGUUUUUUGAGGAGAGCCUAGCUCUGCAGGUGGGAUCUACCCAGCACUGGGGGAGCUUGUAGCAGUACAGCUCAUGGAAAAGUAAAAAGCUUGACAAAACCCCUGGUCAGGAAGAAUGAAUCUCUUUAAAUAGGAAAGGAUCUAGGAUUAGACACAUUCUCAUCACAGCGUUCCUCUGCCCUAGUCUUUAAUUAACAAGAUGUUCCUCUGGAAGCUUGAUGGGCCAGUGGAAGAGCAAUCCAAGCAUGGAGGCCUGUGGCAAGCCAAGAAUCCAAGUAUGGAGGCCUGUGGUGUUGUGUGAUGCCCCACAGCAGGAGGGAUUUAUUUAUGAUCAUUUUUCUAAAGCAGAAAUCCCUUUAACAGACUAAUUAAACAAAAAAACCCUGCAACCUUGUUAUAGGAAAAGCACUGCUCCUCCCAAACUCAGAGCAACAAGGCAGUGAAGCACAAGCCUAACUACAAAAGGCUGAAAAGUCAGAAAUUCCAUGAAAACUCCAUGGCCUGCCCAGAAAAUACUUGGGCAAUUAAAGCACAAGCUUUCAAGAUGGAAAAGAAGUGGUGGAAAUCAGAUAAGCCAAGUUGCUUCUAUCAAACUAUGUCAAGGUUUGGGAUCUGAGUCUGAGAGGCUUUUUGAGAGGGGUAGGCUUUGUUAUUCCAAAAAAUAAUGAAGAUCUCUACUUUUUACAGUGAUUUUGCCCCUUGGUGUUAAUGUCUGAAACUUCUCUGAUGAAUUGCAGAUGGAAGAAGGACAGCAGGAAUGUUGCCUCAUUCCUACACAAAGGAAUUUGCUUCAUGAGUAUUGAAAAUGGCCUGUGAUCUCUACAUUGUGUUAGAGGAUCACCCCUGUCUCCUUCUGUAGUCAGUGGAAGGAAAUUGGCAUUUCCAGAGCCUGAUUGAUCUCUCCUGCUUUAGAUAUCUCUGCUAGGAGGGGUGAGUGUUCUUCUCCAAAGAUCAAAGACAAAGUUGAGCAGCACUAGUUUGAGUUUGGGGAGUUAAAUUUAGUUAUCUAAGCCAGAUGAAGUGAAUUUUACCAGCAAUAUUAAAUCUUAAACGUUUGUAGAGGUUUGGAUUUUUUAAAGUACUGACACAUUUCCAUGGUGGCUUAUUCCAUCCUGAAUUUAUUAAUCCACAUUGGAGCAACAGCCAUCUUAAAUUUUUGCUCCUUCAUUUCAUGCCAAGGCAACAAGCUCCUUUUCCCCAGUGUUAUCAGCAUAGUUCCUCUCAUCCCACUGCACCUGUAAUUGUUUUCCCACUUGGGUCUCCCAUGUGCAGCCCUGGCCAGUGGCUUUGGGAGCUGAACACCUCUUGUUCUUUGAGUCAUGCAACAGCUGCUGGAGCAUCCCACAGAGUCCAGAUUCCAGAGAGAUGUGCACAGAGGAAUCAGCAGGAUUCUGUGCUUUUUGGAACACGAAGAAUGUCUCAGCAUUGGCUCAUUGACAUUAAUGCUCUAAAAUCUCUUUGGAAGGUGAAAACAAAUGAUGCCACUUGUUCUGCCAGAGAAAAGGUGUCAGCUUUGUGCAAGAGUUGUGGAUACACUGAAGGAUUCCUUCUUCAAAAAUGAGGUACCAGACAUGGCAGUUCAAGCCUUUGAAUUGUUUAUACCUGUUGCAAUAAAAAUCUAGAAGAGGAGCUGCAGGACCUUGCAGUGUCCCUUUGGAGGAGCUUGGCAAGCUGAUCUUGUUCAAUUCUGAAUUCCCAAAAUGAGCAAAAUUGGUUGUGGCCAAAUCUGGACAGAAGAGCAAGACUGAAAGCAGCUUGAGAUUUUCAGCAGGUGAUACUUCUCUGCUGAAACCCUGUGCUGGGGAAGAAUAUGAAAAUGAGGUUGUUUGGGAUGAAAAUUAGAUUGUUUGGAAGUGCUGCUGUAUAAUUACAGUGUUAAGUGGCCAUUAAAGUUCCAAUGAGAUCUUUUACAGAAAUCAAACUUUUAAAUAUUAUCAACUUGAGUCACAGUGUUAAAAGUGAGAAGUUCUUUUCCUCCCAUAAAGAUUGGAAGAAACAGGAGAUCACCUUGACAGGUGAGCAGUCUGCAGGGCACACUUUAAAAAUUGAUUUGAUCUUGGGACACUGGGAGCCUCAUUAUCUGAACAAACAGAGAUCGAUGCCUGUGUUUGAGUUGGUAUCUCGGACUCCUUCUAAAGUCAAGACAGAUGCAGACAUUUCUAGGUCAUGAUUCACCUGACAAAGUGCAGGCAGCUGCUUUACAAUGACAGGAAUUGCAUCCAAGAAAGGCACAUUCCUUCCUAAAUGUGGCAUCCAUUCAUUAAUCUACACAAGUGGGACAACGACGCUGUAAAUGUCGACAGUUGGGUGAGUCAAAUUUCACCUUCAUUGGAAAGUUAUUAAUUUUUACUUUUUUUUUUUUUCCUUGUCUCCCUAAGUGGCCAGGAUGUCAUGGAGCAAACACAAAUCUCAAGGACCAAUCCUAUUUCUAGGGGGGGACAGUCAGAAACCUUAAAACUUGAGAGAUUCCGACUGCAGAUCUGUGUGAGACCUUUUCUGGAUAAAGAGCAAGGGGAAGAAAUAAAAUUGUCCUGGAAGAAUGACAGGGAAUUAUUAUCUUGCCUCACACAUCCAUCUAAGGUGCACAGGGGUGACAAAUUGUCAUGGGAAUACAGAUGAAAAAUACCUUAAUAAAGAACAGAAAACAAACCAUGUGCUAAAAACUUCUGUUGUUGCUGCUAAGAGAAAUUUUCAAAGGACAAAAACAGCCGGGUAUUCUCACAGUGUUCUUGGUUUCUACAAUGAUCCCAAAAUCCUAUCAUGAUAACCAGGCCUGGACACACCUCGGAGAGGACAUCUGGCUGCUAAAGCCUGCAAGUUUAAGGGAUUUAUCUUCUGGAACUCCUCAAGUAGCUAAAUAAAUUAUAAAAUAGGCAUGGGAUGUAAAACCAACCAGAUUUCAAUCAUUGUUUAAAUAUUUCCAGACUAUACCAAAUGAGAAAUGAGCGCAGAAUAGUUUCUUUAAAUACCUGGUAUAGUUUCUAAUACCAGAUUGAUUCCAACUCUUUUUGCUUCCUGCAAACCAGGCACUUCUUUUCCUGAGAAAAGAACUGAGCUGUUCAUAUAAAGUGUUACAGGUGAUCUCUGCUGUUUGAAUUACCAAAAUGUGGCUGAUGCAGGUUGCUCUUGUCAUAAGAAGAUGCAAAGACAUUUGUUUUUUCUGAUAAAAGUCACCUUUUUUAGGAAAAUAACCCUAAUAUUGCAAAAGCAUCUGAUGCACUGAACACGGGAGCUGAUGGAGUCAGCAUAGAAGUGAUCCAGAGGGUUGUGCAGCCAAAUCUGAUUUACCAAAUCUGUGGACUUUUAGCCCAAUCUGAAGUUGCAAACACCUCCCCAGGCCUCAGCUGAUGCAAAUUCUUUCAGUGCCCUUGGCUGUGAGUUUUUAGAAAGCCCAAGGCUGAGCUCUUAGAGUGAGCAUCAGAGCUGGGGAAUCAGAUCCCCCAACAGAUUUGGGGACGAAAACGAAGAAUGAUAUCUUAAGUCAGUUUUGGGCUGUGGGAAAGCCAGAAAAAAAUAGCCAGAAAAACUCCCCCUAGCCUGAAAAAUAAGGAAUUAUUGCAGGAAAAUGCAGCCAGCUCUGAAGGUGCUGAAUUCUGUAGAAAUAUCUCACUUAUCCAAGGGAAAUGGACAUAAACACAGCGCUAUUAAAACUCAGGCAGCACUGUGGACUCGUUAUUUUUAAAAAAAAAGCAAAUUUAAUAAGGCCAUAUGCCAUCCUUGAGGCUCUGCUGGCUGUAUAACAAAGGGAAGGCAUGGACCAAAAAAAAUCUGGGCUCUUCCUGGAACAUUCUGAUCCCCUCAGCUCCCACGGAAAGCAGGGAUGGUAUUUUGGGACUUAAUAAGAAACCUUUGGCACCUUGAAAAGUUGAAGCCUCUUGCUUUGGUGUGGGGUAAGAACAAGGUGCAAGUCAGAAGGAUGAAAUGAGUCACAAAAGUUUGUUAACAAUAGAAUGACAACACUGGGAUAAAAUCCAUUUUUAGGCAUUUCCGAACAUUUUCCAGUCACGUUUUAGGAGCUGGCAUAGUCUGAGGUAAUACAAGAGGCAUGGUUUGAAAGGGGAGGUAUUUUAAUAUUAAAAUAUAUAUUUCUUGUAAAAGAUAUGACCUCUCCCCCAAACCUUGGCUCUCUCUUAUUAAGCAGGAACUUGUUUUCAGGUUCAGUCCUAUAUCACCUCCUCUUGACUUUUGCACUGUUGCUUGUCAUGACAUUGAACCAAAAGCUGAUAAGGUUUGUAGUGACUUUAUCCAUGAUAAAUGAAAAAACCACUGUGACAGUGGGUCUGUCACCCUGUGAAAGUGUCCCUGAGCCUUCACAAAAGAGUGCCCACAACCAAAGUUGUCUCCAGACCUGCUACUAAAUCCUCAUGUGGGGGAAUCUCUGGGUCAAUAUUCACUAACUGAAGUCCAAACUGUGCCAAGAACUGAAAAACUUUUGACAACUGAGUGCCAGAUCUUGCUCUGUGUAAUUUAUUAGUGUGAGUGGAGACAAGGAAUGCAACAGGAAUGGGAGAAUAAUCUGUGUGCCUUAUUAAAUUUAGAGUUUUUGCCACUUCAAAGCACAUCCAAGAUGUCGCUCUGCCCCUCAUCCUGCAUCUCAGGGAUGAUGAAGAAGAGACCCCAAGCAGUUCCACCAGGGAAGGAGUUUGGUUGCUCAUCUUGAAGACUGAACUUGGCUGGGCAGUGAAACACUCAUCUGGUGCUCAGGAAGAGCUGUACCAAAUUCCCUGCCAAGUGAUGUCAUUGGGGCUGAGCUAAUCAUCCAAAGAGGGACUGGCACCGAAGAGCCGAGUGUCCUCACAGCCAAUGCCAUUAACACCUCACAGAAGUAACUCAGGGUGCAUAUUCAAGAGGAGCCAGCUUCGGAGAUGGGGCAGGCCCCCUGAGGAGGAGGAAGAUCAUCCUUUCAGCUUCUACCAGCCUUACACCUCCUCCUGGCAUACCUAGUCCAGGUCAGGCAGGACUGUGAUGGUGUGACUGCUCUGGUGUGCAGGCUAGCUCUCCUCAGGUUCAAGAUGAUCCAUCACUUUUUUGAGCAAUUAGCUUUUCCUGACAGGAAAAUGAACAUAAUUCACAGUUGCCCCAUCAGGCAUUUUGUCCUUAGCCUCCAUUGCUGAGUCUAUAUUUCAGAGGAGAAUUUCACUGUGCUAAAAUUGCAGCACUUUUUCCAUGUAUUUUAAGCUCUGGUAUCUUUUGUAGGAUCUUCUGAUGGUCUGUCCUUCCUCAUGAGAGCCUGGGCAUGUCCUGAUGCCCAACCCUACAGCCAUGAAGGGACGCUCAAACCAUAGUUUCACCCUCAUGCCUUGGACAAAACUCUGUUUCUCGACUUGAGCUGAGGAGUGAGUGAGCCAAAUCUGACUUUGUGCAGGGCCUUGUGCCUCCAAACCUCAGGAGUAACAGAGAGAAAGUAAAACUGAGUCCUACAGCUUUUCUCACUGCUCUGCUGCCUAAAGGAUCUCAGGAAAAACCUUGAUCCAAAUCAAAUGAGUCUUGGUUUCUGUAAAAGCUCCAUGGUCAGAACCUGCUCCACAUUUCACCCAAACCUUCUCUUUAGUAGGUGAGACAGCAGAAGACAUUCCAAGUGCUGUUAUAUCCACUUGCUAUAUCCCAUCUGUCAUGCAACAGGCAACACAGAGGCAAUUCCUGCUCAAACAGCACACCCUGCUCACUGAUGGAUGCUCUGCUCUAGGCCAGGACAAAAGCUGGGUCAGCUCCAGGGAAGCUGGUAAAGCUUUCCCACAUUUAGCAAGGUGGAAUAAGAGGAGAAAUUUGCUCAGGAGCCACCAUCCAAAACAAAAGGGAUCUUUAUAGAAAUGGACAGUCCUGAAACAUGGAAAGGAGCAGAGAGCCCAGCAGUGAGCAUGAAGCUCCUCCACAUAGGUGGAAGAGACACAGGAAAGUUCUCAAAAAAGCAAAGCUGAUGUUCCAGAAGGACCUAAAACCUCAGAGUUGUCAUUAGGAAAUCAUUGCAAUAUAAGCACGGUAACAAACCAACCA
Long non-coding RNA from Taeniopygia guttata (zebra finch), 7874 nucleotides. The record is from Ensembl. NCBI's taxonomy places the organism in Eukaryota, Metazoa, Chordata, Aves, Passeriformes, Estrildidae.